This 253-nucleotide ribosomal RNA is filed under the name uncultured bacterium. RNAcentral describes it as "partial 16S ribosomal RNA". It matches the Rfam family "Bacterial small subunit ribosomal RNA", at positions 524 to 776 of the family's 1533-position model. The record is from RNAcentral.
UACGUAGGGUGCAAGCGUUGUCCGGAAUUAUUGGGCGUAAAGAGCUCGUAGGCGGUUCGUCGCGUCGGCUGUGAAAUCCCGAGGCUCAACCUCGGGUCUGCAGUCGAUACGGGCGGACUGGAGUUCGGCAGGGGAACACGGAAUUCCAGGUGUAGCGGUGAAAUGCUUAGAUAUCUGGAGGAACACCAGUGGCGAAGGCGGUGUUCUGGGCCUGUACUGACGCUGAUGCGCGAAAGCGUGGGGAGCGAACAGG